RNAcentral lists this transfer RNA (92 nucleotides) under Candidatus Woesebacteria bacterium RBG_13_36_22. RNAcentral's name for it is "tRNA-Ser". It matches the Rfam family "tRNA". From Rfam's summary of the family: Transfer RNA (tRNA) molecules are approximately 80 nucleotides in length. Their secondary structure includes four short double-helical elements and three loops (D, anti-codon, and T loops). Lineage: Bacteria; Candidatus Woeseibacteriota. The record is from RNAcentral. RNAcentral also lists the same sequence under 2 other names.
GGUGAGGUGCGAGAGUGGUUUAUCCGGAAGGUCUUGAAAACCUUUGUAGGGAUUCUUCCUUACCGUGGGUUCGAAUCCCACCCUCACCGCCA